RNAcentral lists this ribosomal RNA (1136 nucleotides) under uncultured fungus. RNAcentral describes it as "eukaryotic LSU rRNA". The stretch from base 505 to 1136 matches the Rfam family "Eukaryotic large subunit ribosomal RNA", at positions 1 to 648 of the family's 3401-position model. Lineage: Eukaryota; Fungi. The record is from RNAcentral.
AAGUCGUAACAAGGUUUCCGUAGGUGAACCUGCGGAAGGAUCAUUAUCGUAGGGCUUCGGCCCUGUCGAGAUAGAACCCUUGCCUUUUUGAGUACCUUUCGUUUCCUCGGCAGCCUCGGCUGCCAAUGGGGACCCCAAAAAACACUUUGCAGUACCUGUAACAGUCUGAACAAACAAACAAAAAUUAAAACUUUCAACAACGGAUCUCUUGGUUCUGGCAUCGAUGAAGAACGCAGCGAAAUGCGAUAAGUAGUGUGAAUUGCAGAAUUCAGUGAAUCAUCGAAUCUUUGAACGCACAUUGCGCCCUUUGGUAUUCCUUAGGGCAUGCCUGUUCGAGCGUCAUUUAAACCUUCAAGCUCAGCUUGGUGUUGGGUGACUGUCCGCCGCCCCCGGGCGCGUGGACUCGCCUCAAAAUUAUUGGCGGCCGGUACAUUGGCUUCGAGCGCAGCAGAAACGCGAACUCGGGCCCGUCGUAUUGGCUCCCAGAAGCUAUCUUCACAAUUUUGACCUCGGAUCAGGUAGGGAUACCCGCUGAACUUAAGCAUAUCAAUAAGCGGAGGAAAAGAAACCAACAGGGAUUGCCCUAGUAACGGCGAGUGAAGCGGCAACAGCUCAAAUUUGAAAUCUGGCUCUUUCAGGGUCCGAGUUGUAAUUUGUAGAGGGUGCUUUGGCGUUGACUGUGGUCUAAGUUCCUUGGAACAGGACGUCGCAGAGGGUGAGAAUCCCGUAUGUGGCCGCCAGUCUUCGCCGUGUAAAGCCCCUUCGACGAGUCGAGUUGUUUGGGAAUGCAGCUCUAAAUGGGAGGUAAAUUUCUUCUAAAGCUAAAUAUUGGCCAGAGACCGAUAGCGCACAAGUAGAGUGAUCGAAAGAUGAAAAGCACUUUGGAAAGAGAGUCAAAAAGCACGUGAAAUUGUUGAAAGGGAAGCGCUUGCAGCCAGACUUGCCUGUAGUUGCUCAUCCGGGCUUUUGCCCGGUGCACUCUUCUAUAGGCAGGCCAGCAUCAGUCCUGGCGGUUGGAUAAAUGUCUGCACAAUGUACCUCUCUUCGGGGAGGACUUAUAGGGCAGGCGGCAUACAACCAGCCGGGAUUGAGGUCCGCGCAUCUGCUAGGAUGCUGGCGUAAUGGCUGUAAGCGGC